This is a long non-coding RNA of Daphnia pulex (common water flea), 309 nucleotides long. RefSeq lists it as uncharacterized. Lineage: Eukaryota; Metazoa; Arthropoda; Branchiopoda; Diplostraca; Daphniidae. The record is from RefSeq and is a predicted model, not a curated record. The transcript has 2 exons.
CCAAGUGAGAUUAUUCUUGGAACAACUUUGGUCUGAUGAAUGAGAAAUUCAAAUUCUUCUUGAGUACUUGCGUGUCACGGCUUUCAUGCUCUUCCACAGCCUAGAUGUGUCAUUAAUCAAGUUGUUUUGAAAACAACCCAAUAAAUGUUCUACUUCAGCUGUAGGCCUACCCCUUUCGGUUGUUACUACGAGAAAAUGAGAUGACAUCUUGUAUCAGUCUCGCCAGUAUUUAAGUCAUCAUCGUGGUGUUGUACAAAUAUACAGCAAACAAGUAGAUGUCUUUGCACAUCCAUUAAUACUGCAAAAGAA